GAUGAACGCUGGCGGCGUGCCUAAUACAUGCAAGUCGAGCGAACAGACGAGGAGCUUGCUCCUCUGACGUUAGCGGCGGACGGGUGAGUAACACGUGGAUAACCUACCUAUAAGACUGGGAUAACUUCGGGAAACCGGAGCUAAUACCGGAUAAUAUAUUGAACCGCAUGGUUCAGUAGUGAAAGACGGUUUUGCUGUCACUUAUAGAUGGAUCCGCGCCGCAUUAGCUAGUUGGUAAGGUAACGGCUUACCACGGCAACGAUGCGUAGCCGACCUGAGAGGGUGAUCGGCCACACUGGAACUGAGACACGGUCCAGACUCCUACGGGAGGCAGCAGUAGGGAAUCUUCCGCAAUGGGCGAAAGCCUGACGGAGCAACGCCGCGUGAGUGAUGAAGGUCUUCGGAUCGUAAAACUCUGUUAUUAGGGAAGAACAAAUGUGUAAGUAACUAUGCACGUCUUGACGGUACCUAAUCAGAAAGCCACGGCUAACUACGUG
Molecule: ribosomal RNA, 497 nt
Filed under: uncultured bacterium
Lineage: Bacteria
Description: partial 16S ribosomal RNA
Rfam family: Bacterial small subunit ribosomal RNA
Source: RNAcentral